Molecule: long non-coding RNA, 2552 nt
Organism: Balaenoptera musculus (blue whale)
Lineage: Eukaryota; Metazoa; Chordata; Mammalia; Artiodactyla; Balaenopteridae
Exons: 6
Source: RefSeq, a predicted model, not a curated record
ACAGUCUCUGAAAUGCCACCACUGGCGAGAGAUUUGGAAACCUUAUCCCUUUCUCUUCUUGCAAGAUAAAAAGAGGUCAUGUCAUUUUAGAACUUGUCAUGAAAAGCAUUCAGAUUCCUUAUCUCAGCUGAAUCUCCCAGGAUGGCUGUAAAGCCUGAGGGCUCGCAGUAGCUAUCGAGGCACUCAAGGGAUGCACCUGUUUGACUCGUACACAGACUGCCUGAAUCCCACUUCUGACUGGCUGCAGAACCUGGGCAGCUCACCUACCCUCCCACUGCCUCAGCUCUCUUUGCCCAUGAAUGGGGCGAUGAUAGUACCUACUCAUAGAACUGUCAGGACUAAAUAAGUGACCGAUGUGACAUGUGGCAUCAUGCAGCAUCAUCUGGCACGCGGCAAGCAGUAAUCCAUUUGAAAAUGUGAAAACCAUUCUUGGCUUGAGGACCACACAGAAACAAGCGGCGCACCAGAUACUCGAGGGCGGUAGUGUGCUGACCCCAGAGGUAGAGGCUGAGAGUGAAUGAAUCCUGCCAGCACCGCUGAGACUCAUUGUACACGAGAGGAAACGGAGGCUCUGGGAUGUUCCGUAACCGGCCCAGGAGAUGGGCUAGUGGAGAGCAGAGCCUCUCAGACUUGAUUGUUUGGGUUCCCUCUGCAUUUGUCACUACCAUGUGAAGAUGUGUUAAGACUCACCCUUUAUGGGACAAGAGAAGCUGUCCUCAUGGAGGUGCCCCUUCGAUGUAUGAUGGCAUUUCCUGUGGCACUUGGGCCCUUUGGGGAAGCAUAAAUUAGCUAAUGUCUAAGAAGUAGGGGGCCCCAGCCAGGGCACUGGGCAGGCACUGUAGUCCUGACUUGGUAUGUGGCAUAAGGGCAGUGUUCUGUCUAAACAAAACUGUCCCUGAGCUCCGUGGCGCUGGGGACAAGACCCACCAUUCCCUGGGCUGUACUCCUCAAGAAGGAGGUUGGGAGGUCUAGCUGGCAGGUAGCCCUCACGGGCUAACCCAGAAAGGUGGCUUGGUCUCGAGGACAUUGGCACCGUAGCAGGCAAGUGGCAACAAAAUGUGAGUGAGAUAUACAUGUCUGAAAGACAACACUAGGCCAUGAGCUUUCCUGGAGGGCGUGGCUGAGACUGGGAGAGCUCCCCAGAGGGCCACCUGGCCUUUUUCUGGCUCUUCCCCACUCUCCACACGUCAGGCUGUGGGCACAUGCUCCGUAGGGCCAGCUGUGAGGCUGGGGUCUGCUCUCUGGUCCUCCCUCCCCUGUGCUUACGGGGGACCCGGGGGGGCCCUAAGCCGGAGCUGCUGCCCCAGACUGCAGCAAAACCGCGCUGUGCCUGCUGCCCUCAGGCCCGAGCUGGCUUAGGCUUCACCAGAAAGGAAAACGCCCCCUCAUUGUGCAAUGGGUGCAGCCUGUUCUGGAAUCUUCCGCAAGCCAAGCCUGACUGAGCGUGGGUGACCGGGGACCUGGGCACUUGUCUAUUCGUUUUGUAUCCUUUUAAUAUUGUUACAGAAGUAAACACUCCCAAAGUAGAAAAGUUAGAAAAUAUGGAUAAGACAAGAGACAGAUGAAAAACAUCCAUAACCUUGCCUUCCGGAACUGGCAGCCAUCUUGUAGCCAUGAGAACGGCCGUCAAGAGGGCAGCGUCAACACAGAGCAGAGGAGAACCAAGAGAAGAACAGAGAAACAGUAUGGAGCCCUGGUCAAACUGCUUCUGGAGUUCCCCUGGCUCCGGACUGCCUGCCUCUUGGUCAAAGAGGAACUUUCUUCCCAAUGGUGAGAUGUUUCCACUUCCCAGUCUUAUAAGGACUACCCCAACUUGGCGAACAACUGCUCAAGUCUGCGAUGAGUUGCACGUCAGUGGCGCAAAGGACCAGAGAAGCCUGUCCCGGCUUCCUGAGGGAAGAGAGAAGUGUAAAACUGGCUGCACCCCAGAGCCAUCCUCUGCUCUGAAGGUUUGACAGCCUCCUGUGCAUCCCUUUCCAGAGGCCGCCUGUCCGGACCACUCACAGCACUUGUAAGACUGGACCAGAUCACCCUCAGCCCCACUUCUCGCAGACUGGGAUGAGGAUGGGCAGGAUUUCCCUUCCAGUUCUACUUCAGGCAGAACAGCUCCAACCAGCGUGUGGUAGAGACUGCCCUCGGGACCAGGGCGUUUCCCUAGAGAUGAGGGGAAGCCACUCAGCAUGUGUGUGUGCAUCCUUUGUGCACACACCUGAAGACACCAGUUAUCCUUACCGCAUCUUAAUAUGUUUUUAAAAUAUGAUCGUUGUUUGAUCCAAAAGUUAUAUAUAUAUAUAUUUAUAAUGCGCAUACAAACGUCUAGUCGAGAUGAUUUUAAAUCACCCAUAAUGUAAUAAUAGUAUUGUGGUUAUGUUAUUUUAAAGAGCUUUUAUCUUUUAGAGACACAUUCUGAAAUAUUUACAGAUAAAAAGCCAUGAUGUCUGGGAUUUGUUUCAAAAGAAUCCAGUGGUGAGGAAGAAAGUAGGAGGUGCAGACAGAUAAAAUGGACCAUGACUUGAUAAUUGUUGAAGCUGGGUGAUGUGUACAUGGGAAUU